RNAcentral lists this long non-coding RNA (600 nucleotides) under Homo sapiens (human). RNAcentral describes it as "non-protein coding lnc-PTCD2-4:1". Lineage: Eukaryota; Metazoa; Chordata; Mammalia; Primates; Hominidae. The record is from RNAcentral.
AAGAGCAUCAAAACCUCUCGAGAUACUCUGUACUAGGCGUCCCACAGAGGAACCAGUGCAAGCACUGGACACUUUCGGGUAUAGCCGAAGAUCACCUUGAAGAACGAUGAACUCAGAAGGACAAGUGCUCCCCCUGCAAACUUUAGUCCACUCUCCGCCCCAAGCUCUCUGUGUGUAUGCUGGGGACCAACAACACUUUGAUAAAGCCAAGGCUGUGGCUAUCACCAUGUGAGCUUUGGGGUGCUGAAGAAACUCAACCAGAAUAAGAAGCUCAUCAAGAAGUUGGCCAUAAAGUAUGAUGACUCUGAUCAAACACAUCCUCAGCCCCAGCCUGAAUAAAGCUGGCAAAUUCCCUUCCCUGUUCAUGCACAAUGAAAACAUCGUGGCCAGAGUUGAUGAGGUGAAGUCCACAAUCAACUUCCUGACGGAGGUGCUGUGUCUGGCCAUGACCAAUGCCAUGUGAAGAUGACAGACGAUGAGCUUGUGUACAACAUCCUUCUGGAUGUUAGCUUCCUGGUGUCACUGCUCAAGGUGAAUUGGCAGAAUGCCCAGGCUUUAUACAUGAAGAGCACCAUGGGCAAGCCCCAGCACCUGGACUAA